UACGGAGGGUGCAAGCGUUGCUCGGAAUCACUGGGCGUAAAGCGUGCGCAGGCGGUCUUUUAAGUCAGAUGUGAAAUCCCCGGGCUUAACCUGGGAACUGCGUUUGAAACUGGAAGGCUUGAGUGUGGCAGAGGGGGGUGGAAUUCCACGUGUAGCAGUGAAAUGCGUAGAGAUGUGGAGGAACACCGAUGGCGAAGGCAGCCACCUGGGCUAACACUGACGCUCAUGCACGAAAGCGUGGGGAGCAAACAGG
RNAcentral lists this ribosomal RNA (253 nucleotides) under uncultured bacterium. RNAcentral's name for it is "partial 16S ribosomal RNA". It matches the Rfam family "Bacterial small subunit ribosomal RNA", at positions 524 to 776 of the family's 1533-position model. The record is from RNAcentral.